Molecule: long non-coding RNA, 2411 nt
Filed under: Triticum aestivum (bread wheat)
Lineage: Eukaryota; Viridiplantae; Streptophyta; Magnoliopsida; Poales; Poaceae
Description: long non-coding RNA (TAES_LNC001440)
Source: RNAcentral
CCCAAUCCAACACCUUGCUUAACCGCGCAUGUUCCCCGACCCACUCUCGAGGCUCACCGGCGUCGCCACCGGCUGCAGACUGCUCCCAGCUUGCCCUCCCUCUCUCUGAUCGCUUCUACCAUCUUCGCGUAAGUCCUGCAAGCUCUCUCCCUCUCUCUCUCUGUGGAACAUCAGCUCGCUUCGGGGACGAGGGGAGGAGAACCUGUGCAGGCGAACGAGGUUCAAUCUUCUAGCCCGGUUCUCAUAUGUGUUUGAGUCGAGGUGGAAGGACAAUGAUGUUAUAUGACGCUUUAUUAACCUAGAACACCGACCCGUGUCCGUGUUACGGUGGCGUCUCUGUCUCCCAUUCGCCUGCUCCUUCCGUCAGGUUCCAAGGUUUCUCUGUCCUUGAUGGUCCGAUAAUUAUUAUUUUGCAGAUCCUGACUAGGAGAUCAUCUAAAGGUACCACUGUCUUUUCCUUUUUCGUAUUGCUGUUCUUCAUUGCAACUCUGUUUUGCUUAGGAGUAUUUUUUUUGUCUCUGGUCCAAAAGGGGCAAGUGGCAGAGUUCCAAUCUUAUGAGAUGGAGCGGAUGCAUAUCAAAGAGAAGAUUGUCCAAUCCAGAUUUGCUUCCUUCGCUAACUGCAGAUAUGUAAAUCUUACCAAUUAGUUGAAAUUCACAUGGAUGUGCAGAUUGAUUUUAUCAGGAUGUUCGAAUGCAUUAUUUCUUCAACUUUGUGGUUUAAAAUUAUUUUUCACAUACAUGAUGUAGGCAACUUUGAAUCUUGGAGCCUUAGCAAGGGCACAUGCAAGUUACUGUUUCCAAUGGUUACGAGCAUCUCCUAUUUGCAAGACGAUGACAAGCAUGUUUCUGAAGAUGUGAAUAUCAGGGAUCUAGAUAUGACAAGCUGCGAGGCAAAUGGUCUUCAGCUUUACCGACCUCCACAAAGGCUGAACCAUGUUUAUCUGCUAGAGAUGGGAAAUUGGACAUUCUGAAUUCUUUUUUAUGCCCGGGGCAUUCAUGUAAGAAAUAUGUUUUGAAGUAUGUAGCCUAUGUUUUUCUUUGAUAUUCGUAAAUAACACCGAAGUUUUUUACUUGCACAAAGUGUUUAUCCAUGAUAAGUGCUAACAAUGAUGGUAAGCUGCACUUGAAAACAGAAGCUUCACGGGUGGCACAAAGGGCAGCUGAAGCUUUACUUCAAUCAUGAUUUUUUUCCUUCAUGUUUUGGUCUGAAAUUUUCAUUCUGCAUUUCCCUUUGUACGUAUAUACUGCCAUGGAAAUUUUGAAGUAAAUACGAUGUAGAAGCAUAACUUAGAUUGAACUAUUGGGUAGUCUAACUGAAUUGGUAGAGUUGUAGGACAAAGCAUACUAGGUGUAUUUCUAUGGUAUAAGCAGCUGAAGGUGAGCAUACAUGCUUCGACAGUUUUUUUGUACAGAAAAAGCUAUUGGUGGGGGAGGGGGGGGGGCUUAUUUGGCUUAUACUCAAGUGCUUCUGUUGGGAGGAGGAAAACUUGUUUGGGUUAUGCUCAAAUGCUUCUGAAAACUGAAAUUCUUCAUACUUUUAGAAUUUCAGUAAUGCAUAUAUAAGAGCACACACUUGAUUAAUUUUGUGUGGAGAGGACGCUUUACAUUGUUUCUGAUAGUGACUUUACUACUUUAAGGUGAAGUAAAUGUUUGAUUAAAGUGAUACAACUUAAGAGCUUUGACUAUUCUCAAUUUGUCAUUAAAUCUAUACUUUGAUAAUGUAAUAUUUUUUCAUUUACUUCCAAUACUUCAUAAUGAUGCACAAAGAAUAUGGGUGACGACAAAGCUUUAUACUGUUUAUGCACAAACAAGUAGGGCGUCCGGUUAAGUGCUCCCUUCUGAUUCAUAUUUAUUCGCUAGCAGUUGGUGCAGCAGGGAUAUUUAGGAUCCAUUCUAUUUCUGAUCAUUUUCAGUUAGGAGGCUAUGAGAUUAUUGUAGGCCCCACUGUGUCAUUAAAUAGGUAUUUUUCUUUCUUAUCUUGCUCUAUUUUCUGUUUUGUGCUUUAAAUUGUUUCUAUAUGUCACCCACUUAAUCUAAGGCUGUCCACAAUCAAUUGUUUUCUUUCAGUAGGAUUUUGCUGUACUCCUGAAAAUCCAUGGGCAAAUAGUACUAUGUUCAGUUGAGAGAAGUAGUUCACGACACAUGGAAAUAUUUAUGGACGCUGAAUUAUAGUGUCAUUGUCGCCAUCGUCAAUGCUAAGUCUAUUUACACUUUGGAUUAUGGGCUGCUAAUAUCUUUUGGUUUUCUUAUCUUUUUGUUCUGUGACUACUUUUCUGUAAUGGCAUGAACUCUUACUUUUGUUUCUAAAGAUUAACCUGUCGUCAUUGCUAACUUAGUGUUCCUAUUUCAGCCAUGUAUUGUUGGGGAUUCAGUGAUUUCAGGCUACCAGUAAUUUCUUCUAUUUUUCAG